RNAcentral lists this unclassified non-coding RNA (3004 nucleotides) under Onthophagus taurus. RNAcentral describes it as "zinc finger protein 271-like, transcript variant X1". The record is from RNAcentral. Lineage: Eukaryota; Metazoa; Arthropoda; Insecta; Coleoptera; Scarabaeidae.
ACAACAUCUUUAAAAAUUCACUAAAUAUCCCUAAAAUAACGUCUUCUACAGUCGUUUGUAUGUUUGGUCAGUUCAAGAUGUAAUUAUUAAAUAUUUUAAUUUCGGUUAAUAUUAGAAAUGAUACAUAACGGUGUGGAAAUGUCCAUGGAUAAGAUAUGUAGGUCAUGUAUGACCGAAACUCCUGAGGCCAAGAAUGUUUUUGAAAACUGCAUGAUUGAUCAAACUUUUCUAAUUGCGGACGUUUUAAUGGCCUGUGCCUCCGUUGUUGUUAAUGUUGAAGAUGGUUUACCUAAAAGAAUAUGUUCAAUCUGUGAAGACAAACUUUCUGUUGCUUACCUUUUUAAGCAACAAUGUGAAAAAGCUGACAAUACAUUACGUGAACUGACCAAUCAGCAACGAAGAGAAGAUAUUGAGGUCAAACCGGAUGUUGAUAUUGAUGAUUUUUAUAAUGAUGCAGAUAAUGUAUCCACAGACUCGGAAAUCCAAUACACACCCAAGACCAAAUCAUCAAAAGUUCAUUUAAAAUGUGAUUUUUGCAACAAAAAUUUUCGUUCUAAAAAUGGCUACCAACUCCACAUGAAAAGACACACAAAAGAACCUUUAUUAACUUGCCACAUAUGUAAUAAAAAAUUCACUAAAGCCUUGUUAUUUAAACAUUUACAAACAGAUCAUGAAGUUAAUGUUGAAGGAGAUAAUUUUCCAUGUACUCAUUGUGAAUUAAGAUUUCACACUUUAUCGUCACUGGAUACCCAUAUGAAAGAACAUAGGAAACAAAAUGAUGGUUGUAUAAAACAGGAAUGUGAUGAUGAUGAUGAAGAUGAAACAGAAAUUAAGAAUGAAUGUGAUCUUGAUGAUGUAAAACCUGAUGAAGAUGGUAAAUAUUCUUGUAAACAUUGUGCAAAAGUUUUAGCUAAUUUGGAAGAUUUAAAAGUGCAUUUACGGAGACAUACAGGAAUUAGUUUAUUUUCUUGUAAGAUAUGCAAUAAAGCUUACGAAAAAAGUAAUCAUUUAAAACGUCAUAUGUCUUCGCAUAAAAAGAAAUUAAAAUUAACAUCAGUUAAGCAUGAAUCAAGGGAUAGAAAGGUAAUGCAAUGUGAAUUUUGUGAUAGAAAAUUUAAAUAUAAAAAAAGCUUUACACACCAUAUGCAAACAGAACAUGGAAUCUCCGAUGAUAGCGACACCCCUCUAAGUAUUCUUGUAGCGAAAAACGAGAGAAAAUCAUCGACGAGAGGUGGUCUUCGCGAUAAAGAAGAAACUGAAUCGGCUGAUAGCGAUUUGGGUAAUUUAGAUGAAACAGAUAAUUUAGAUCCAAAUCAAGAAGACGGAUCCAUUAAUUCUAAACCGCGUAAAGUUCAUAUGUGUCACGUUUGUAACGCAAAAUUUGUCCGUUCGAAUCAUUUAACGCGUCACAUGACCCUUCAUCGUAAUGUACUCAUUCACAAAUGUGAACGUUGCGACAAAGCGUUUGCCAGUGAAGAAUUUUUAUCAAAACACAUGAAAGAGGACCAUAUUGAUAAACCGUACACUUGCACGGUUUGUAAUAAAACGUAUACGAGAGGUGAACAUCUCAUUAGACAUUUAAAAAUUCAUUUAAAUCCAUUGGAAUUGGAUAUCAAGUGUUCUGUUUGUGAGAGAGUAUUUCAAAGAUCUGAUCACUUAGCAAGGCAUAUCAAAUUACAUUUGCAACAGGAUAAAAGACAUAUUUGUAAUGAGUGUGGAAAAGCUUUUAAUCGAUUGGAUAAUCUUAGGGCUCAUCAAAGGAUUCAUUCUGGGCAAAGAGAUAAUGCCAAAUUGCAUUUAUGUAUAUAUUGUGGAAAAGAAUUUAAUAAUUCAAGUAAUAUGAUAGUACACAUGCGUAGACAUACAGGAGAAAGACCAUACAAAUGCGAUCAAUGUGGUAAAGGUUUUCCAAGAUCGCACGAUUUAAAAUGUCACGAAAGAACUCACUCGGGUGAAAAACCAUAUAAAUGCACUAUGUGUUCAAAAGCAUUCAACAAAAGUAACAAACUGCUUAGACAUACAAGAGUACAUACAGGUGAACGUCCGUAUGUUUGUAAUUUAUGUGGAAGAGCUUUUACACAAUCAAACGAUUUAGCAUUACACAUGCGUAGACACACAGGUUCUCGUCCAUACGCUUGUGGAGUUUGUCCGGCGAGGUUUAUUCAAUCCGGACAAUUAAAAGCGCACAAACGUUCAACAGGACAUUGGAAAGAGAUUCCACCAGAUCUAAAAGGAGGGCAUCGUGUAGAACCUGUUGCACCAGUUGGAGAACCAGCACCAAUUCGAUUUAAAACUCACGGCAAAAAACGUUCCCUUGAAGAAGAAGAAUUAUUAGCGGAAGGGGUUGGUCCAAUGAUUGUUCAUAAUCCUGUCGUAGCUCCAAUUAUAGCUGAAAAUGUAUACGUUCAAAUACAGGAUGGACAACAAAUUGGACAAGAACAACAAAUAACGAUGAGUAAUGUUAGUAUAACGUAUGAAGAUGGUGGAGUUGGGGUAAUUGGUGGUGAUAUGGGAAUGAAAGAGGAAGUACAAAGUUAUAAAGCGGAACCGGGUGUGGCCCCAUUAAAACCAGAAAAUAACGGGACAUUCCAAACGUACGCAAGUGACGUGCAAACGCCUACAACUUACACUAAUAGCUUUACGUACCAAUCAUAUUAAUGAUAAUAAUAAUAUAUUUUUUAAAAAAAUACGAUAUAAUAAAUGUAAAUUUUUAUUCGGAGAAACGAAAUAUUUACGUAUACAGACAAAAUGGUUAAUCUUGCAAGAACUCAUUUUGGAAUUCAGAAAUUUAUUAACGUAGAGAGGGAUAAUUUUGACAAUACUUGGACAAAAAAACCACACCUAAAUAUAUUUAACACAGAAAAAGUUAUUAAUACAGAUAUUAUCAAUUUUUUAUGUUACUUUUAAGGUCCUUUAAACCUAAUUUUUUACUAUAUAUUUUUCCGCUUUGAAUUCAAUACUUAUGUGUGUAUGAUUUUAAAUAUAAAUAAAUUGUUUAAUUUAU